RNAcentral lists this long non-coding RNA (678 nucleotides) under Mytilus galloprovincialis (Mediterranean mussel). Lineage: Eukaryota; Metazoa; Mollusca; Bivalvia; Mytilida; Mytilidae. The record is from RNAcentral.
UUUUUUAUUUGAUGGUUGAACACUUAAAAUUCUGUAUUAAUUAAAGAAGUCUUACUUAAAAGAUUAAUUAAGCCAACAAAUUUUAUAAUCCAAUGAAUUUUGUUUAAAUAUUUGCAAAUUUUUGGUUUGAUUUGUUGUGUUUUGUAUACUGUGUUUUUUGUCUUUUCAUUGUUUUUCGUUAUGUUUUUUUUUUAUUUAAUUUUUCGAUUUAUGAGUUUGAUUAUCCUUUUGAAAUCCCUUGCCUCUCUUUUGCAAAAAGUAUUGUAGCCAUUAAAUUUUAGAAUGAUACUGGUGAAACUAAAUCAUAAAACAAAUUAGCCAUGACUUAGUAUAUCAUUGUGAACUGAAGUAAUAUCCGUCCAUAGUUGAACAUCAGAGAGUGGAAUUUCACAGGGUGGAAUGUCAGAGGGAGAAACGUCUGUGUAGAAGUGAAUGUAGAAAUGGUUGGUUUAGUGAAGGAUGAUGAGAUACACUCAAAUGAACUGACGUUUCCGGAACUAGUAUUAUUUCAAUUGUGUUAUUUUGCACAUAUGUUAUGUUAUUUGUGUAUCGUUUAUAACAUCACACUAUUGUAGCACACGAGUUAUUUUAGAAAUACUUCUAAUUGCAUUGUACAAUAUAAUGAUAUUACAAUAAGGCUCUUCAUUAAACUAAUAUUUAGAUACACCAAUAAAAUAU